CUGGUAUUAUUUUAUUUCAAUUUCAUAUGUCUUGUUUUCCAUUUUAAUGAACUUUAUUAUCUGCACGUUGAACAAUGUAUAUAUAUAAUAUGAACUUGAACUAUGAUUCUCCACCACUUCACCAUUAUAGUUGUAAGGAAAGAAAGUUGGCCAGAUCUAGAAUCAAACCCACCAUUGUACGCAUGGCUCCACAAGCAAGCACCAUUUUUGACAUCUUAGUCACAAACAAUGUGCCAAUCGACGGAAAGCAUUGUCUUUAAACUCUUGCCAAAGUAAGAUCCGUCAGUAACUUAAUACAAAUGGAGCGCUCAUAACACACUUUUGGGCAUCUCUUAAUUUACUCUACCUGCAGCAAAUGAAGGUUAUGAAUUAACACCAUGCAUUCUUAGUGGUUGACAUAAUGAUGCUGAAAUUUUUUGUGUUUUCUAAGUCCGAACAAUUAACACAACGUAUAAGAAAAAUCUAAAUAGCAUAAUGUGCACCACAUUUCUAAACCAAAUUAAUACUUAAAUUAACA
RNAcentral lists this long non-coding RNA (517 nucleotides) under Salvia miltiorrhiza (redroot sage). Its description in RNAcentral is "long non-coding RNA (SMIL_LNC011228)". Lineage: Eukaryota; Viridiplantae; Streptophyta; Magnoliopsida; Lamiales; Lamiaceae. The record is from RNAcentral.